This is a long non-coding RNA of Bos taurus (domestic cattle), 1542 nucleotides long. The record is from Ensembl. NCBI's taxonomy places the organism in Eukaryota, Metazoa, Chordata, Mammalia, Artiodactyla, Bovidae.
GUGAGAACGGGCCGUGUCUCUAGGAGCGGGAGGGCGGUCGGGACGUUUCCUCUGCCCGUGGUCAGCGCUUGGGCUAUAGCUCGCGAAUGAGAGUGACCGUGCCCCGAGCGGUGUCCUGAGGCCACAUUGUCCAGUUUUCCGGUUUCGGCUGGGAGUGGUCGUGUGUCUCAGUCGGCGGACGGCGCUGGGUUCCUGCCAGCCGUCCCUGGAUCCCGGCCUUCCUCCCCUGGAGUGGGGACGGGCCGAACGCGUGGGACAAGGUGGCGCUGGAUGGAGCGCCCGGCCAUCCCCGCGGCACCACAGUCCCCGUACCCGGGGCCUCAUGACCUGGAGUUCAGGUCCGCACCAGGGCCGGAAGCGGGGUAGCUGCUCCACGACAGCCACUGUCGUUUCUCCAAGCUCUGUGAUCGUCUGCAGGCUGGGCUGCGUCUUCGUGGGGAUCGCCUGUGGUCCCUUCUGUUCCCCUUGCGGCCUCGGCGCCUGUGUGGACCGCCACACACGUGCCCCCUCACCGAGGGUCACAUCAGGGAACGUGGCAGGCGAGCAAGGAGGUCGCCCAAUGCGCGGCUCCAGUCCUGCCUGGGCUCGGCGGUCAGAAGCGCCAAAUGUUUGAGACACAGAAAGCGUCCGGGGCCGUCCCGUGAGGGUCUUGGGGAGACGCGAGCCUGGCGCAUCUUUAGUCUCAAAAGAGCCUCUGAACACGCGUGAAAGGGAGGACGCGGGAGCGAGAAAUGCAACCUGCGGCGCACUCGGAGGAAACGAGUGCGGAGUGGUGAUGCUGUGCCUUUUCCCAAUUGCGAUCCGGAUUUGUCCCCGUGGCGUUCAUGCUGUUUGGUUGUAGCUGGGCCGCCAACAGGUCGACCAGAUGGCCAGACAACUUAGGUACUUUAAAAUUCCUUACGCUGCAGCGUGAAAACCCCCUGAAGGCAGAGAGCUGCGGAGUCAUCAGGUUGAUGUGUGUGCUCACCUUCACUCGAGGAACCUAGUCCUGGAACCCUAACACCGCCUGCUGUUCAGGGUCUGAGAACCGUUUCCUAUUUUGUUCAGCUUUCUAAUUCCCAGUGGUAGGUGAGGAAGUCUAGAGGCUGUUCCUCUUAUCAUUGCAGGAAGCGGAACCCUUUCCAGGGCCCUAGAGUGGGCUCACACGUGCUGACAAGGCAAGAGACUUGAUUGGAAGGGGCACCCAGGAGGACAGCAGCAGGUUACACCCCUUACGGACCCUCCCUCUCUCCUGGGCACCAGGCUCCCUGGUUCAGAUCAUCCAUGACCCAUUUCUCUACACUCAAGGAGUUAUCUGGCCACGUUGGCUCCAGCUCUAAUGGAGUGAGUUGAGCAUGAUGGACCCAGAGAAGAGUGGAGACAACAGGGCAUGAAAGAGAAAUAUAUUUUCAUGUUUGCUUAUAAGGAACUCUAGAAGGAUCCGUAAGAAACAAAAUACUACCUGUGGAGGCAGAUGGCCCUGGACACACAGGCUAAAUGACAGGAGGCACAGAUUAAGGCAAAGUGUAUUUUCAGUAUCUUGAAUCAUGUGCCUGUAUUAUA